The sequence is a ribosomal RNA, 877 nucleotides long. It matches the Rfam family "Bacterial small subunit ribosomal RNA", at positions 500 to 1375 of the family's 1533-position model.
UAUACGUGCCAGCAGCCGCGGUAAUACGUAAGGUGCAAGCGUUAAUCAGUAUUAUUAGGCGUAAAGCGUGUGUAGGCUGAAGAUUAUGAAGUAUGUAAAAUAAUAGAGCUUAACUCUAUAAAGCAUACUUUACUAAUCUACUAGAAGAUAGGUAAAGAUAACGGAAUUCUACAAGUAACAGUGAAAUGUGUAAAUAUGUAGAGGAACACCAAAAGCGAAGGCAGUUAUCUUACCUUGAUUGACGCUGAUACACUAAAGCGUGGGGAGCAAACAGGAUUAGAUACCCUGGUAGUCCACGCCCUAAACGUUGUCAACUAACUGUCUAUAUUAGGGAAAACUCUAGAAUAGGUGGUGAAGCUAACGCAUUAAGUUGACCGCCUGGGGACUACGAUCGCAAGAUUAAAACUCAAAGGAAUUGACGGGGACCCGCACAAGCGGUGGAUGAUGUGGAUUAAUUCGAUGCAACACGAAGAACCUUACCUACCCUUGACAUGUAUAGAAUUUAUUUGAGAGAAUAAAGUGCCAUAUAAAGGAACUAUAACACAGGUGCUGCAUGGCUGUCGUCAGCUCGUGUCGUGAGAUGUUGGGUUAAGUCCUAUAACGAGCGCAACCCUAUUUUCAUAUUACUAAUAUAAAGUACAUUUGAAAAACUGCCAAUGAACAAAUUGGAGGAAGGAAAGGAUGACGUCAAGUCCUCAUGGCCCUUAUGGGUAGGGCUUCACACGUCAUACAAUGGCUGUUACAAAAAGAAGCAAACUUGUGAAAGUGAGCAAAACUCUAAAAACAGUCCUAGUUCGGAUUGUACUCUGAAACUCGAGUACAUGAAGCAGGAAUCGCUAGUAAUCGCAGAUCAGAAUGCUGCGGUGAAUACGUUCUC